ACGGUUUACAGAUAUACUACGUUCAAUUCCCUUCUGUAUCCUACCUUCCCAACUUUCCACCUACGACAAUGGUAUAAUAAUAUAAUUACAAUGGAUGCAACCAUUGUUGUAGGUGGGAAGUUGGGAAGGUAGGAUACAGAAGGGAAUUGAAUGUAGUAUACAUGAUAUAU
RNAcentral lists this microRNA precursor (170 nucleotides) under Cinara cedri. The record is from RNAcentral. Lineage: Eukaryota; Metazoa; Arthropoda; Insecta; Hemiptera; Aphididae.